This 486-nucleotide ribosomal RNA is filed under the name Citrobacter freundii. RNAcentral describes it as "bacterial SSU rRNA". It matches the Rfam family "Bacterial small subunit ribosomal RNA", at positions 1047 to 1533 of the family's 1533-position model. The record is from RNAcentral. Lineage: Bacteria; Pseudomonadati; Pseudomonadota; Gammaproteobacteria; Enterobacterales; Enterobacteriaceae. RNAcentral also lists the same sequence under 4 other names.
GGCUGUCGUCAGCUCGUGUUGUGAAAUGUUGGGUUAAGUCCCGCAACGAGCGCAACCCUUAUCCUUUGUUGCCAGCGGUCCGGCCGGGAACUCAAAGGAGACUGCCAGUGAUAAACUGGAGGAAGGUGGGGAUGACGUCAAGUCAUCAUGGCCCUUACGAGUAGGGCUACACACGUGCUACAAUGGCAUAUACAAAGAGAAGCGACCUCGCGAGAGCAAGCGGACCUCAUAAAGUAUGUCGUAGUCCGGAUUGGAGUCUGCAACUCGACUCCAUGAAGUCGGAAUCGCUAGUAAUCGUGGAUCAGAAUGCCACGGUGAAUACGUUCCCGGGCCUUGUACACACCGCCCGUCACACCAUGGGAGUGGGUUGCAAAAGAAGUAGGUAGCUUAACCUUCGGGAGGGCGCUUACCACUUUGUGAUUCAUGACUGGGGUGAAGUCGUAACAAGGUAACCGUAGGGGAACCUGCGGUUGGAUCACCUCCUUA